Molecule: non-coding RNA, 262 nt
Organism: Paramuricea clavata
Lineage: Eukaryota; Metazoa; Cnidaria; Anthozoa; Malacalcyonacea; Plexauridae
Source: the annotation of a GenBank genome assembly
CUCGUAUUCUCCCAACACCAUAAAUGCAUGCGACUCGUUUUCUAUUUGACUGGCUUCAGGCUUGCAUGGCUGUUGUCUCUUUCUCGUCAAGAGACGUAUAUGUACCGCACACUGAUAGUUGUACCGCAUGCUUGCAUCCAUGCAUUGACAAGCAUUUUCGUCGAACCAAAAUAAACCUCCACUCACGUAUAGCUAUAGGAGACAAACAAGCAGUUUUUGGAAUUUUUCAUCUUAAAUUGGAAAACCAGUUGAAACCAUUUCG